GUGGGGAAUAUUGGACAAUGGGCGCAAGCCUGAUCCAGCCAUGCCGCGUGAGUGAUGAAGGCCUUCGGGUUGUAAAGCUCUUUAGCCGAUGAUUAUAAUGACUGUAGUCGGAAAAUAAGCCCCGGCUAACUUCGUGCCAGCAGCCGCGGUAAUACGAAGGGGGCGAGCGUUAUUCGGAAUCACUGGGCGUAAAGCGUGCGUAGGCGGUUUUGUAAGUUAGGAGUGAAAGCCCAGGGCUCAACCCUGGAAUUGCUCUUAAAACUACAAGGCUAGAAUGUCGGAGAGGAUAGCGGAAUUUCCAGUGUAGCAGUGAAAUGCGUAGAUAUUGGAAGGAACACCAGUGGCGUAAGCGGCUAUCUGGACGACUAUUGACGCUGAGGCACGAAAGCGUGGGGAUCAAACAGGAUUAGAUACCCUGGUAGUCC
RNAcentral lists this ribosomal RNA (425 nucleotides) under uncultured bacterium. RNAcentral describes it as "partial 16S ribosomal RNA". It matches the Rfam family "Bacterial small subunit ribosomal RNA", at positions 354 to 796 of the family's 1533-position model. The record is from RNAcentral.